Molecule: long non-coding RNA, 203 nt
Filed under: Phoenix dactylifera (date palm)
Lineage: Eukaryota; Viridiplantae; Streptophyta; Magnoliopsida; Arecales; Arecaceae
Description: long non-coding RNA (PDAC_LNC000124)
Source: RNAcentral
UUUUUUUGAAUGAAUUUUUUCUAACUAAAUGGUUGAAAUGGAUGUCACUAAUUUUAAUUCCUAUUUCAGAGUCCCAUUUUUUUCAAUUGAAUAUGUGUUAUAAGGUGAGGAUGGGUUGAAUGAAAACUAUUUGGUCGUGUUAAUUAUCUUGUAAUUGUUUAAGGGUUCAAGUGUAUCCUCUGAGAAAUGAAAUUACAAAGAAU